Molecule: non-coding RNA, 1583 nt
Organism: Microcebus murinus (gray mouse lemur)
Lineage: Eukaryota; Metazoa; Chordata; Mammalia; Primates; Cheirogaleidae
Source: RefSeq, a predicted model, not a curated record
CGCCGCGCGCCCCGCUCCGGCUCCCCAGUGCCCGGGCGGCCAUGGCGCUGAGCGAGCCCAUCCUGCCGUCCUUCUCCACUUUCGCCAGCCCGUGCCGCGAGCGCGGCCUGCAGGAGCGCUGGCCGCGCGCAGAGCCCGAGGACGGAGGCACGGACGACGACCUCAACAGCGUGCUGGACUUCAUCCUGUCCAUGGGCUGGACGGCCUGGGCGCCGAACCGCCCCCGAGCCGCCGCCGCCGCCCCCGCCGCCGCGUUCUACUACCCGAGCCCGGCGCGCCGCCGCCCUACGGCGCCCCCGCGGGUGGCCUGGUGUCCGAGCUGCUGCGGCCCGAGCUGGACGUGCCCCGGGCCGGCGCUGCACGGCCGCUUUCUGCUCGCGCCGCCCGGCCGUCUGGUCAAGGCCGAGCCCCCGAGGCGGACGGCGGCGCAGGCUACGGCUGCGCGCACGGCCUGGCCGCGGGCCGCGCGGCCUCAGCGCGAGGGCGCCCGGGCCCGGAGCCGCCUGCAUGCGGGUCCGGGCCGCCCCCCGCGCCGCCCGACACGCCGCCGCUCAGCCCGACGGCCCCGCGCGCCUGCCGCCGGACCGCGCGCCCCUUCCGCGCCUUCGCGGCCCCGGCUUCGGCGCGCCCGGGCCCGGCCUGCACUAUGCGGCCCCCGCGCCCCCCGCCUUCGGUCUCUUCGACGACGCGGCCGCCGCCGCGGCAGCCCUGGGCCUGGCCCCACCCGCCGCCCGCGGUCUCCUCACGCCGCCCGCGUCCCCGCUGGAGCUGCUGGAGGCCAAGCCCAAGCGCGGCCGCCGCUCCUGGCCCCGCAAGCGCACCGCCACCCACACCUGCAGCUACGCGGGCUGCGGCAAGACCUACACCAAGAGCUCGCACCUCAAGGCGCACCUGCGCACGCACACAGGCGAGAAGCCCUACCACUGCAACUGGGACGGCUGCGGCUGGAAGUUCGCGCGCUCAGACGAGCUCACGCGCCACUACCGCAAGCACACCGGCCACCGGCCCUUCCAGUGCCACCUCUGCGACCGCGCCUUCUCGCGCUCCGACCACCUGGCGCUGCACAUGAAGAGGCACAUGUAGCCCGCCGGCCCCGACCCGCGCGCGGCCGUGGCGGGUCCCACGCGCCGGGUGCGGCCCCCUCCCAGACUGUGACUGCUAUUUAUUGGACCCGGAAGACCGGGCUGGGCACAGCGUGGCCACGGAAGGGCUCCCCUCCCCCCACAUCCGACGACAGCGACAACGCCACUGCCCCAGCCCCCACCUGUGACUGAAGGCCCCGGUGGGAAAAGACCACGACCCUCUUUGACGAGUUUUGUUUUCAAAAUGGUGCAAUAAUUCAGCGUCGUCUUUCUCCCCACCGGGUCUACACUAGAGGUUCGAGGCUUGAUGCCUUGUGAAAAAUACAGCCUUAAUUUGUACUGUCUGCGACAUUUUUUAUAAUAUUGUACAUAAUGACUGUGACAGGUAUUGUAUUACCUUGCAUAGGGAGACAGGAGGGCAUUUUGGCUGCCUGGUUUGUUUUUUUAAUAAGACUUUUGCUGUUCUUUUUUUUUUAAUUAAAAAAAAGUUUUGCAUCUUUU